RNAcentral lists this microRNA precursor (69 nucleotides) under Echinococcus multilocularis. RNAcentral's name for it is "microRNA emu-mir-3479b precursor". The record is from miRBase by way of RNAcentral. Lineage: Eukaryota; Metazoa; Platyhelminthes; Cestoda; Cyclophyllidea; Taeniidae.
UGGCGGUGCGCGGUGCAAUUUCUGUUAACCCGCUUUCUUGAGUGCAGAUUGCACUACCCAUCGCCCACA